ACGAACGCUGGCGGCGUGCCUAAUACAUGCAAGUAGAACGCUGAAGGAGGAGCUUGCUUCUCUGGAUGAGUUGCGAACGGGUGAGUAACGCGUAGGUAACCUGCCUGGUAGCGGGGGAUAACUAUUGGAAACGAUAGCUAAUACCGCAUAAUAGCAGUUGUUGCAUGACAACUGUUUGAAAGGUGCAAUUGCACCACUACCAGAUGGACCUGCGUUGUAUUAGCUAGUUGGUGGGGUAACGGCUCACCAAGGCGACGAUACAUAGCCGACCUGAGAGGGUGAUCGGCCACACUGGGACUGAGACACGGCCCAGACUCCUACGGGAGGCAGCAGUAGGGAAUCUUCGGCAAUAGACGGAGGUCUGACCGAGCAACGCCGCGUGAGUGAAGAAGGUUUUCGGAUCGUAAAGCUCUGUUGUAAGAGAAGAACGAGUGUGAGAGUGGAAAGUUCACACUGUGACGGUAUCUUACCAGAAAGGGACGGCUAACUACGUG
Molecule: ribosomal RNA, 494 nt
Filed under: uncultured bacterium
Lineage: Bacteria
Description: partial 16S ribosomal RNA
Rfam family: Bacterial small subunit ribosomal RNA
Source: RNAcentral